This 465-nucleotide ribosomal RNA is filed under the name Vreelandella stevensii. RNAcentral's name for it is "partial 16S ribosomal RNA". It matches the Rfam family "Bacterial small subunit ribosomal RNA", at positions 338 to 795 of the family's 1533-position model. The record is from RNAcentral. Lineage: Bacteria; Pseudomonadati; Pseudomonadota; Gammaproteobacteria; Oceanospirillales; Halomonadaceae.
CCUACGGGCGGCAGCAGUGGGGAAUAUUGGACAAUGGGGGCAACCCUGAUCCAGCCAUGCCGCGUGUGUGAAGAAGGCCCUCGGGUUGUAAAGCACUUUCAGUGAGGAAGAACGCCUGGUGGUUAAUACCCAUCAGGAAAGACAUCACUCACAGAAGAAGCACCGGCUAACUCCGUGCCAGCAGCCGCGGUAAUACGGAGGGUGCGAGCGUUAAUCGGAAUUACUGGGCGUAAAGCGCGCGUAGGUGGCUUGAUAAGCCGGUUGUGAAAGCCCCGGGCUCAACCUGGGAACGGCAUCCGGAACUGUCAAGCUAGAGUGCAGGAGAGGAAGGUAGAAUUCCCGGUGUAGCGGUGAAAUGCGUAGAGAUCGGGAGGAAUACCAGUGGCGAAGGCGGCCUUCUGGACUGACACUGACACUGAGGUGCGAAAGCGUGGAUAGCAAACAGGAUUAGAUACCCUGGUAGUC